GGCUCGUUGGUCUAGAGGUAUGAUUCUCGCUUCGGGUGUGGAGGUCCCGGGUUCAAAAUCUCGGACGAGCCC
Molecule: transfer RNA, 72 nt
Filed under: Merluccius polli (Benguela hake)
Lineage: Eukaryota; Metazoa; Chordata; Actinopteri; Gadiformes; Merlucciidae
Description: tRNA-Pro
Rfam family: tRNA
About the family: Transfer RNA (tRNA) molecules are approximately 80 nucleotides in length. Their secondary structure includes four short double-helical elements and three loops (D, anti-codon, and T loops).
Source: RNAcentral